AUUGAACGCUGGCGGCAUGCUUUACACAUGCAAGUCGAACGGCAGCGCGGGCUUCGGCCUGGCGGCGAGUGGCGAACGGGUGAGUAAUACAUCGGAACGUGCCCAGUAGUGGGGGAUAGCUCGGCGACAGCCGGAUUAAUACCGCAUACGACCUGAGGGUGAAAGCGGGGGAUCUUCGGACCUCGCGCUAUUGGAGCGGCCGAUGGCAGAUUAGCUAGUUGGUGGGGUAAAGGCCUACCAAGGCGACGAUCUGUAGCUGGUCUGAGAGGACGACCAGCCACACUGGGACUGAGACACGGCCCAGACUCCUACGGGAGGCAGCAGUGGGGAAUUUUGGACAAUGGGCGAAAGCCUGAUCCAGCAAUGCCGCGUGUGUGAUGAAGGCCUUCGGGUUGUAAAGCACUUUUGGCGGGAACGAAAAGGACUGUGCCAAUACCACGGUUCGAUGACGGUACCCGCAGAAUAAGCACCGGCUAACUACGU
Molecule: ribosomal RNA, 483 nt
Filed under: uncultured bacterium
Lineage: Bacteria
Description: partial 16S ribosomal RNA
Rfam family: Bacterial small subunit ribosomal RNA
Source: RNAcentral